Molecule: ribosomal RNA, 253 nt
Filed under: uncultured bacterium
Lineage: Bacteria
Description: partial 16S ribosomal RNA
Rfam family: Bacterial small subunit ribosomal RNA
Source: RNAcentral
UACGGAGGGUGCAAGCGUUAUCCGGAUUCACUGGGUUUAAAGGGUGCGUAGGUGGGCUUGUAAGUCAGUGGUGAAAUCUCCGUGCUUAACAUGGAAACUGCCAUUGAUACUAUGGGUCUUGAAUUAUCUGGAGGUCAGCGGAAUAUGUCAUGUAGCGGUGAAAUGCUUAGAUAUGACAUAGAACACCAAUUGCGAAGGCAGCUGGCUACAGGUAUAUUGACACUGAGGCACGAAAGCGUGGGGAGCGAACAGG